AUUGAUAGGCCACUGUUGUAAAAGAUGAAAUGAUAAAUGGACUGUGGAGUAGUUGGUGGGCAGAGAGAAAAGCAAAUGCUCUUGUUUUAUCUGUAAAAAGAUGUGGGUGUCAGAACAUGGAAAUGCAUCUAUUUGACAGACCUGAAGCAGUUUACUGUCUGCUAAGGUUUCCACUCAGAUGCAAGAAAAACAUCCUCGCGCUUUCUGCCUGUCUGAUUGUGGCAGCCCAGAUUGAAUGGGGGAACACAGGGCAAAACUUGGAACCCUACAACCAGGUGACACCAAGAGUCCAUGGUACGGUGCAGAGCCUCAGAAGAAAUUUUCUCUGGAUUUUGUUCGAUCUGUGGAAUCAGGUUCUAGUGGUGCCUGUGCCUGAAGCCUCUUCCUCCGCCCCCUCCCCAUCUGCCUGCAUUCACGCCUGGGGGGAGGAUGGGAGAGUCAUCGCUAAGGCUGUGAGAAUGACUCAUUUGAUGGAAUGACCGAUAGAGAAUUCCCACAGGGUUAUUCACCAAGAGGGUGUGUCCAAAUUGCCAG
RNAcentral lists this long non-coding RNA (534 nucleotides) under Capra hircus (goat). RNAcentral describes it as "lncRNA (ENSCHIG00010006130.1)". The stretch from base 123 to 251 matches the Rfam family "Small nucleolar RNA SNORA31". The record is from RNAcentral. Lineage: Eukaryota; Metazoa; Chordata; Mammalia; Artiodactyla; Bovidae.